AAAAAGAUAAGCUAAUUAAGCUAAUGGGUUCAUACCCCAUUUAUGAAGGUAAUAACCCUUCUCUUUUUA
RNAcentral lists this transfer RNA (69 nucleotides) under Locusta migratoria (migratory locust). Its description in RNAcentral is "tRNA-Met". It matches the Rfam family "tRNA". From Rfam's summary of the family: Transfer RNA (tRNA) molecules are approximately 80 nucleotides in length. Their secondary structure includes four short double-helical elements and three loops (D, anti-codon, and T loops). Lineage: Eukaryota; Metazoa; Arthropoda; Insecta; Orthoptera; Acrididae. RNAcentral also lists the same sequence under 1 other name. The record is from RNAcentral.